This 429-nucleotide ribosomal RNA is filed under the name Verrucomicrobiota bacterium. Its description in RNAcentral is "Verrucomicrobia bacterium partial 16S ribosomal RNA". It matches the Rfam family "Bacterial small subunit ribosomal RNA", at positions 355 to 776 of the family's 1533-position model. Lineage: Bacteria; Pseudomonadati; Verrucomicrobiota. The record is from RNAcentral.
UAGGGAAUCUUCCGCAAUGGACGAAAGUCUGACGGAGCAACGCCGCGUGAGUGAAGAAGGAUUUCGGUUCGUAAAACUCUGUUGUUAGGGAAGAAAAAAUGUAUAGUAACUAUAUACAAAAGAGACGGUACCUAACCAGAAAGCCACGGCUAACUACGUGCCAGCAGCCGCGGUAAUACGUAGGUGGCAAGCGUUGUCCGGAAUUAUUGGGCGUAAAGCGCGCGCAGGUGGUUUAGAAAGUCUGAUGUGAAAGCCCACGGCUCAACCGUGGAGAGUCAUUGGAAACUAAUAAACUUGAGUGCAGGAGAGAAGAGUGGAAUUCCUAGUGUAGCGGUGAAAUGCGUAGAGAUUAGGAGGAACACCGGUGGCGAAAGCGGCUUUUUGGCCUGCAACUGACACUGAGGCGCGAAAGCGUGGGGAGCAAACAGG